GGUGCUGUGGCUCAAGUGGUAGAGCACUAGCCUUGAGUAUGCUCGAGGCCCUGGGUUCGAUUCCUCAGCACCA
RNAcentral lists this transfer RNA (73 nucleotides) under Dipodomys ordii (Ord's kangaroo rat). It matches the Rfam family "tRNA". From Rfam's summary of the family: Transfer RNA (tRNA) molecules are approximately 80 nucleotides in length. Their secondary structure includes four short double-helical elements and three loops (D, anti-codon, and T loops). Further hydrogen bonds mediate the characteristic L-shaped molecular structure. tRNAs have two regions of fundamental functional importance: the anti-codon, which is responsible for specific mRNA codon recognition, and the 3' end, to which the tRNAs corresponding amino acid is attached (by aminoacyl-tRNA synthetases). tRNAs cope with the degeneracy of the genetic code in two manners: having more than one tRNA (with a specific anti-codon) for a particular amino acid; and 'wobble' base-pairing, i.e. permitting non-standard base-pairing at the 3rd anti-codon position. The record is from Rfam by way of RNAcentral. Lineage: Eukaryota; Metazoa; Chordata; Mammalia; Rodentia; Heteromyidae.